GCAGUCUGCAACUCGACUGCACGAAGCUGGAAUCGCUAGUAAUCGCGGAUCAGCACGCCGCGGUGAAUACGUUCCCGGGCCUUGUACACAUCGCCCGUCACACCAUGGAAGUCUGCAAUGCCCGAAGCCGGUGGCCUAACCACUUAUGUGGAAGGAGCCGUCUAAGGCAGGGCAGAUGACUGGGGUGAAGUCGUAACAAGGUAUC
RNAcentral lists this ribosomal RNA (205 nucleotides) under uncultured bacterium. Its description in RNAcentral is "partial 16S ribosomal RNA". It matches the Rfam family "Bacterial small subunit ribosomal RNA", at positions 1300 to 1500 of the family's 1533-position model. The record is from RNAcentral.